UUUAAUAUGGCAGAUAAGUGCGAAGGAGUUAAAAUCCUUAAAUAAAGUGACUUUUUAUUAAAA
This 63-nucleotide transfer RNA is filed under the name Wallacidia oculata. Its description in RNAcentral is "tRNA-Leu". Lineage: Eukaryota; Metazoa; Arthropoda; Insecta; Hymenoptera; Mutillidae. The record is from RNAcentral.